CACUUUCCAACAUUUUUGGUAACUUAGUAUUCCCACAACCUCCAUCAAUCUCUCUUGACUCUUUACGGCUUCAAGUUCUACUACUCCAACACCUACAAUGGCUUGCAAUGGUAAUUAAUUGUUCUUACUCAGCAAACUUAGGGUUGAUUAAUGGAACUUGACGGGAAACACUUUCAACUUCAUCGACGACCUCUGCAAUUGUUGGUUCAAAUUCUUUAUCCUGCAAAAAUUGAAAAUUUAUGAUGCGUUGGUAAAGGAAUUUUGGAGGCACGUGAUGAAAUAGUUUCAACUUCAUCAAUAGUCAUGCAUUCUGGGAUGGAGAAAUUUCAAUCAACAUUCUAGGGUUCCCAAUCAAAGUCACCCAACAAUCCAUUACUGCCAUUACCAAAUACAUGGAUGGAGGAAUGCUAAUGGAGUCAAAUUAUGAGAGAAAAUUUGAUAUGUCUAAGAUCAACAAAGAACUUUUUAAGAACUCCUCUAUAAACUCCUAGGCCAUCAAAGUGGUGAAAAACAAAAUGAAAUUACAAUUAUAAAAAUAGUUUAGUAAAAUAAAGUUGAAUCAUAAAGAACUUAUAUUAGAGUAAUAUAUAUAGAUCGAAGGAUCACAAGGAUUGUUAUACUAGUUCAUAACAAAUUGUAACUACAUCUAGUCCUCCCCUUACAGAGAGAUUUUGCCUCAGUAUAAUCGAAGACUUAAUCCACUAUUUCAACAAUAGCAUACAAGUAUUUUUCUCUAGCCUCCCUAGGUUAUCAUCAUUAGAACCCUUCUCCAACUUUCUAGCAACCUGCCAUUGAGGAUCAUGAAUGUUGUUGUACCUCUUUAGGUACUUCUUAGAGGUGAUAGAGUUGUUGACACUAUCACAUUGAUUUAUAUUAGUUCUAGUUUGUGUCUGAAUUGUUACAAAGUUUAUUAAUGGUGUUCUAACUCUUAUUGAGGGGAUGUUACAUAUGAAGUCCUAUAUCAGUUCAAGUGUAUGAAAAUACUAUGAGUAAUUUACAUAAAUUCUAAUAACUCUUUACUGAGGGGAUUUUUCUAUCAUACUUUUCUUUUUAUGUGUUCUUGGUUUUUCCAAAAUUUCUUCUUAACACAUUGCCUUUUUCAUUCUCACUCAAUCAAGAUUGAUUGGACGGUUUCUUCUUAACUACAAAGAAGAAGUGUCUGUUGAGAAUAUUACUGUUGGAGAUCUUCAAUCACCAUUUAAAGCAGACCAAUCUUUAAGAUGUAUCCAUAUAUAUCUUCAUAAUUGAUUUUACGCAUCUUCAAUUAAGAAGGCACAUCUUCAAUCACCAUUUAAAGCAGACCAAGUUUCAAUGACGCUCCCUUCAUUGUUGGAGACUUCUAUGCUCCAAUCUUUGAAGAGGACAAUAAUGAAGUCAUUCAUGAGUACAAUUGCAUGGCUAUAAUUUACCAAAAUCAUGAAGUAAAAAAAAAAGGCAAGGAAAGAUGGAUAUUGUUGAAAAGAGGAAGCCAAUGAGGAAGAGGUUUUCCCUUCUUUGAAAAGAACAUAGAUGGCAACCUCUGUUUUGAGUCUAUUUACAUUUAUGCCUCUGUAAAUAUUAACAUUAGUGUAUAUAUAAAUUCAUCUACUGCUAAAUUAGAUACAACCUUAUCCUAUACAACUACAAAUACACAAUAUCAAUUCCAACCUAAAACACAUUCUGAAUUCAAUCCUCAUCCACCUUUGAACCUAACUCUGAACAAAACCCUGAAACACAAACACCGUCCCCACGUGUGACCAACCCAAGGAGAACCUACAUUAUCUUUAAUUAUUUGAUUUAAUGAGUAAAAUAAAUUAAAAAUAUUAUAUUUAAUUAUUUAUUUAUUUUUUAAAAAUAAUAGCACUUAACUGGAAAUAUUUUUAAGAAUAAGAUUUUAUGUGUAUAUGUGCGUUUGUAAUUAAUGUGAUAUUUUUUUGUGAAUUUGAAUAAUGUUAAAUUGAAAAAUAAUUAUAUUUAAUUAAAUAAUUAUCUUGAAAUAUAAAUAAUAUCGUGAUUGAUUUCCUUUAUUUUUAUAUACUUUCUAUGACAUGAUUUUAUAUAUAUUCAUUGAGAUUUAGUAAUGAAUGUAAAUUGUUGAGUUUAUAUCUAUUUAUUUUUCUUUAUUGACUAUUCUCUAAUUAUGGUAGUAUUUCAAUGCGAGUAUUUAAAAAAAUAUAUUUUAUAAUUGUGGUAAUAAUUAUGAUUAUGAGGGUUUCAGUUAUUAUUAAUAUAUUUUUGACUUAAUCACAGUUUUAGUACCUUUAUUUUUACUGAUUCACCAAAUUGAUCCCCUAUUUUAGAAAUCAAUCAUUUUGGUCUCUCUUAUUUAUUUUUUAACUAAAAAAAUGAAGAGGUGAGAUGCUUUAAAUAAGUUACUAAUGAUACGAUGAUAUAGAAUGAUUAACACCUAUGAAAUUUGAAUAAAACACAGUAAUAACUUAGAUUGCAAAUUCAGAAAUUUUCAUAUUUUUAAUUUAAUUAAUGACAUAAUAAUUAAUGUGUCUAGUUGGUUCUAUAUCAUAGAAUUGCAUGUCACAUCAUUAAAAGUAUGUCAAAUUUUCAUUUUUAUAGUUCAAAAAUUUGAGGCAGGAACCAAAACUUUCGAAUUUUAAAAUAAGGAGACUAAUUUCGUAAAUUGAUAACAAUAGAGAGACCAAAAUUGAAACUAAGCCUAUAUUUUUUUUAAGUUUAAUACUUGAAUUUUCUUUAUUUUGUAAAGUAUUGAUAUUGAAAUAAUUGAGAAGACAUUUAAAAUCACGAGUGUAUUACAAUGUGAGAUAAAUAGAAGAGCCGUAUUUCUCAUCAAUUAAUCCAGGUUCACUACACAUGGCGGUAAUCCUACGUAGUAAUAAUUGAAUUAAUAUGAAAAAUUGGAGCUUGUUUGAAUAAAAUAUGGAUUAGAAACUUUUAUAACAUGUUGUGUUAGAGUAAGAAAGCAACUAAACAUUUGAAAAAACUCUAUAAAUAUAUCUUCAUUUGUUUUUCAAAAGGGGAUCUGAUCUUUAACUCUGUUAAUAAAAAAAAUACAUAUAAAGAAGAGGUAGAAACCAGAGAGAGUAUCAAUAACAUUAAAUAAAAUAGAAAACGUCAAUGUAUAUUUGUUUUUCUCCUAUAUAAUAAAUAUGUUUGUUCUUUAUCUUCACCAUGUAAUUACUUCUUUUUUUUUUGUUAUAAAAAUAUAGAUUUUUGAUUUAUAAGAGAAAAAGUAAGAUAACAUAACGAACGAAAAUAAAAAAUAAGACUAAAAAGUUCAAACCUGAGACGAUGUUAUUAUUGCUAUCGCCGCCGAAACGGCAACCAAAUAUUUUGGCGCCGCCGCGCGCUCCUCCUCGAUCUCAUCCCAUCUCUCAGUAUUUCUCUCUCUCCGCCGAAACGGCAACCAAAUAUUUCUCUCUCUCCCUCUCUCGAUUUCCUCUCUCUCCCUCUUAAUCGGUUUCCUUUUCUUCUUUUCUUCUUCUUUUUUUGUUUUUUGUUUUGUUUUCGUUCCAGAAACCGUUUAUGGUUUCUCUAUUAAACCGGCCGCUGCCCA
RNAcentral lists this long non-coding RNA (3508 nucleotides) under Cicer arietinum (chickpea). RNAcentral's name for it is "long non-coding RNA (CARI_LNC002005)". Lineage: Eukaryota; Viridiplantae; Streptophyta; Magnoliopsida; Fabales; Fabaceae. The record is from RNAcentral.